This 468-nucleotide ribosomal RNA is filed under the name uncultured bacterium. Its description in RNAcentral is "partial 16S ribosomal RNA". It matches the Rfam family "Bacterial small subunit ribosomal RNA", at positions 28 to 507 of the family's 1533-position model. The record is from RNAcentral.
GACGAACGCUGGCGGCGUGCUUAACACAUGCAAGUCGAACGGAAAGGCCCUGCUUUUGUUGGGUGCUCGAGUGGCGAACGGGUGUGUAACACGUGAGUAACCUGCCCUUGACUUUGGGAUAACUUCAGGAAACUGGGGCUAAUACCGGAUAGGAGCUCCUGCUGCAUGGUGGGGGUUGGAAAGUUUCGGCGGUUGGGGAUGGACUCGCGGCUUAUCAGCUUGUUGGUGGGGUAGUGGCUUACCAAGGCUUUGACGGGUAGCCUGCCUGAGAGGGUGACCGGCCACAUUGGGACUGAGAUACGGCCCAGAGUCCUACGGGAGGCAGCAGUGGGGAAUAUUGCACAAUGGGCGGAAGCCUGAUGCAGCAACGCCGCGUGCGGGAUGACGGCCUUCGGGUUGUAAACCGCUGUCGCCUGUGACGAAGCGUGAGUGACGGUAAUGGGUAAAGAAGCACCGGCUAACUACGUG